UGUUUUUUUUCUCUACAUAUAUUAUAUUUGUUUUAGUCAUUUGGAGCUUUUUCCCGCCACUUUUGGAGAGCAUCCGGAGGAGGGCGUAUAGAGUGGGGGGACCAGCUCCUUGAAACAGCAACUGCACAAGACACAUGGCUAUGGAUUUGACAGUAGCCAUGCCGGUUGGGUGAAUGGUGACACCAUCCUCCGAGGACACACAGUGGAGUGGGGAGGUGGCAGAGCAAGUUACAGGGUAAGGAUUUUGAGUAGAGAAAAGGAAGGGAUUUCAAAAGGAGAGCUAAGGGGGGAGACCAGAGGGGGAGUUUUGGUUGCAGGGCUGUUGGGAGACUUUUGAAGAAAGAGUAGUGAGGAGUCCAACCCAUUUUGCUAAAGAAGAACGUCCUCAGGUAUGAAUAUUAUAGAUUUUUCCACUUCGUUUCAACUUAUCUGUUUUUCUUCUCUUUCUUUGUUGACUAUUGGGUGCUAUUUGUUGAAUGGGAAUAGAAGUCCAAUGCCAUAUGUGUAUCUCAGCUGAGCUUUAGAAUGGUUUGGUGGGGUUAUAGCAUGUUCAGGUUCAUUAUUUAUUUGGUUCUUAUUGAAGAUUAAUUUAGUAUUGUUUCAGAUUCCUCAUGAGAUUCCUGUAACCAUAUCUUGAUUUAAUACCCGUUUGAUUCCACUCACCCAGCUUUCCAUACCCAUCUCCACGCCAAUCCCAUCUCUCGCCACCUUUUCUUUCUCUAUGCCCGUAUAAUCACUAUCACUCACACCUCCAUGCGCGCAAGUCCUCUUCAAUUUAAUUUCCUAAAUAAUAUCCUAAUAUUAUUAUUAUCAUCAUUAUUGUUGUUAUUAUUAAAAAUCUAUCUAUAUCCUCGCAAUUUAAUUUCCUAAAGUUCAUUUCUUAUUAUUAUUAAAAAUCUAUGUUCUAGCAGUUCAAUUUCCUGAAGUUCAUUUAUUAUUAUUAUUAUCACAAUUAAUAUUAUUGUUAUUAUUAUUAUUAAAAUCUAUAUUCUCGCAGUUCAAUUUCCCAAAGUUCAUUCCUUGUUAUUAUUAUUAUUACAAAUUCAACUUUCAAAAUCUAUAUCCUUGCAGUUUAAUUCCCUAAAGUUCAUUUCUUAUUUUCUCUAUUACCGAAGCUCUAAUUUUUUAAAUAUAAUUCCAAAUACUCCAAUUUUUAAAUAAACUCCAAGAAUCCAGUUUUCACUCAAAUAGUUUUAAUCCCAUUUCAGUUCCUAAAUAAUCUUCUGAUCUUCUUGAUUUUACAUAAGCAAUAAUGAUUCCUUCAUAAUUCUAAAACACGGGAUUUAUGAGCUUAGCUCAUGAACAAUAAAUUGGGCUUUGUUGGGGGUCCUAUGUUUGAUCCCUUUUUACUGUUAAUUGUCGUGCUUAAUAUAUUUUGCUUGAGCUUCGUUUUGCACUCCGAUAUGCAUGGGUUAUACUUUGUAUUCAUUAAUUGUGCACUAAUCUCGUUUCUUGAUAGCGCAUUGUGGCUUAUGGCCGAGGUACCCAUCCACUCUCAUUCUAGUCAAUCUUUAUUGCGUGUUUUGAUUCUCAUAUUAUGCAUGAUUUAGGUGAGUAUUCAUUGACUUUCUCGUUGAUCGCCGCGUCAGCUUCAUUUUAUUAUUAGAGACCCGUUUUUAGGGACUUAGGGGUGCUACGGUCUCUACCAUACCUUCCCGAACUCGAUCCAGUUUUUCACAUACCACCUUUUCUGAAACAAGGAGUCACACUUAGGGUUUUUCUUUCUUAUUUUGUUUACCCUUUAAAAAUAAAAUAAAAAUAAGUGACGACUCCAAUCUUUUUUCUAAAAAUCAAAUUUUAUCAAAUAAAACAAAAAGCGAGUUUCGCCAUCGAGUGGGAAACGCAUGAGCUGAAAUGCGGGGUCCACAAAUACUUUUUUGUAAGUAAAUUUGUAAAAAUCUUUUAGUAAAUAAAAAAUGAUAAUUGAAUAUCAUUUGUAAACAAAUUUGUAGAAAUUAUUUUCUAAAUAAAAGUUGAAAAAUCAUUCUUUAAAAUUUAAUCAAAGUACUUUCUUUUUAAUAAUAAAAAGAAAAUUUAACAAAUUUAACUCUAUGUGUAAUGUUAAAAAAAUCCAACAAAAUAAUAACGAGAAAAUUGACGAAAAAAUGAAAUAUAAGUUUAAAAUUGGCAAGCCAAAAACCAAAGGAGAAAUCAUAAUUCUAUCAAAUUUCCCAUAGCGAGAUUUAAGGGUCAUGCCACGUCAUAAGAUUCAAUCAAAUAAGAAGAUAAUAUAUUAUUAUUGUCUUUUUUUUAACAUAAAUAUCCAAUACGAAAAAAGGCCCUAAUUACAAUCAUCUUUCCCUAAAAAACUCAAACCCUAGGUACGUUAUUAUUAAAUCCUAGGUACAUUAUUAUUAAAUAUUUCACUCUAAUCGAUAAACACCCUUGUAACAAUACCCUUUUCCAAUAAAAAUGUUAUUUUUUAUGAGAAAAAAUUUGUCAAAAUCGAACAAAACCCUAAUACCUGUUUUUCCUAAUGAUGAAACUGAUAUUAGAUUGAGACUUAUGUUUGGAACAUAAAGAACAUCAUUCAGGACAAGGAUGUUGUUUGAGGCAAGUUUAAGAACGACUUGCCCUUUACCAAUCACAGGCAAUGGCCUCAAAUCUCCCACCAAUACCAUUCGAUGCUCACCUUCUUCUAUUGGAGUAAAGUAGUUGAAUGCUCUUAUAUUGCCACAUAUAUGUACAGAAGCUCCAGAAUCAAUUAUCCAAUCGUUCAGAUAAGUAAUCAUCUUCAUGCUAUAAGAGAAUGAGACUUAGAAUCCAUUUAGCAAUACUUUUACAAAACACUUGUAGCAUAAAACGAAUAACAACUUAUUAAAUACCACCUUUAUUUUUAUACUAAAAAUAACUUAAUAACAAAUCUUAGAAAUAAGUAUGGAAAUAUGGCCCAAACAAGCCUUACCACUAAGAAAAGUAAUAUUUAUUCAAUAAAUAUAGGAAUAAACGAGGAAAUGAAUGAGACCUCUAUUUUUAUUCCUCAUUCACGCAUGUAUUUAACAUGACCUUAAUUGAAUUCUUUUUCUUCAAAAUUUAGUUGCAAACACUUAUCGAAAAAUAUUUUAUCUUAAAAAAAUUUUAAAUUUGAUGCAAUAAAAAUAUAUUAAUUUUAAAAAAUUCUUAUAUUUUAGAUAGGAGUUAUUAUUACCUUCUGUUCUCAAAGAGAGAACAAGCUUGAAAAUGGACAUCAAAAUUUUUUACUUAUUGUUUUAUACCACAUAAAAAUUCAAUGCCUUAAAACCCAAAAAAAGCAACAGACAGAGAUCUGUGAAGAGACCCUUACUUGGAAUUAUUGGAUGAGCUGCGAUUUCCCCCUUCAAUCCAGCAGCUUCCCAUCCCCAUAUCCUCUGCUCCGGACCUGCAAUCAGGACAGGAGAACCCCUGGGGAUCAAUGGUACUCAGGCUCGGCAACUUGUCAAGACCAAGCGGCUCUUCCACACUUGACAUCGUGGCAGAAGAUACAAGGGAAACUGGAAAAAAUACACAACAAAAGUAAGUCCUCUCCGUGACUGCUUAUCUAAGAUUUCUUAUCCUUAUUUUAUUAUUAUUAUUUGGUGAUGACUAAACUAGGGAUAUUACAAUGGCAAACUCAAUGAGAAGAUUUCAGAAAAUAAUGACAUCACUGUAUAUAAAGAGAUGAACCAAAAAUUAAAAAAUCUCAUUGCCACAGUGCAUUGGAUGUUCAUAUCAUAAAUAUGCAUAUCAAGCACAGUUUCAAGACCAAAAAAAGAGAAUGUUUCAGUUGCAUUGUUGCGUAACUAGGAAUUCUAUACUCCAACGCAUCCAUCAAUGCUACCAAAUAGUUCAGGGAAGAAAACAAGUACACGUUCUAAGCAACUAUGAAAGAUACAAUAGAAAUUAAAGCUUCAACCAAAUCAGGAAUACAAAAACUCUACAAACUGUGCCAUAAUUGAACACAACCCAAAUCAAUCAUCAAACAAACAUCAACACGAUCACAACUCAAACACUCCACCUAACACACCGUUUCGGUUGUACAGAGAAAACCCAGAUGAAAAAACAAGAAAAGUUCCAAACUUGAACUCCCCUUGUUUGUUGUCUUUUUACUGAGUUUUCUCGGCAACCAAACAGGGGGAAAAGAAAGAGAGAGAGAAAGAGAAAGAAACCUGAAAAGGAAGAAAGGCGGAGGACGGAAGGUAGGGUUUCUUGGAGAAUUUAUUGGCGUAAGGGGUUGGCUGAGGAAGGGGAGAGGGGAGGAAAAUUUAGAAAAAAAUAAAUAAAUUAAAUUUUAAAAAGAUAGUUUUGCCAACCCGCCAUAAGUGGCGGCGCCAGUACAGGCCUAGGUGGAUAAUUAGGAAACGAUCCACACAUUGUGGGAUUUCUUUUUAAUCAUAAAAAUAAAAAAUAAAAAAUAAAAUAAAAAGCGUGUUUAUUUGAAAUUCUUUUUACACCUGAUUUGGAACACCAUUCAACUUUUGCAUAAGAGUAUAGUAAAAUAGACAAUAGCCGGAUUGGAAAUUUAUGAAGGUAGAUUAAUUUAAGAUGAAAAUAGGAAAAUUUAAAAAAAUUCAAUUGAAUAGAAAAAAAAUGAAUGAAAAAUCAGUAAAAGAAAAGAAAUUUUAGAUUUUUUUAAUAAAUAAAUAAAUCGAGGCUUUAGAUUGGAAAAAGAAUAAUAACAAUAAUAAUAAUAAUAAUCAGAAUAAGAAUUGCAAGGUUUCUAGAUUUUACAAUUUGAGGUAGUAUGUUAGGACGACAAUUUUGAAAAAAAAAAGGAAGAAGAAGAAAAGAGGAAUGAAUACAUGCAACGGGAGAUUGUUGAGUAAAAAAAAAGGAAAAAAAGAAAUCAAUCUGUAAAGGUGAGGAAUAAAUUUUCAAGCUAAAUUCUUCAAGAUUUUGAGUGUUUUUUCAAGGUAAAAUAAAUCAAGGUAGAUUUUGUAAAAUGAAUUUUUUUUUUAUAUUGUAUUUUGAAAUAUGUAAAAAUAUUAUUUUUAUUUCUACCCAUGGAUCAAAUAUAUUUUUAAAUGAAAACUAUGAAGAUAUAAUAUUUUAUUUUGUAAGUUUGAAUUAAUGAAAUAAAGUGUUUGACUUUGGUUUCUAUGACCUUAGUCAAUGAGUUAUAAUUAUUGACAUUUCUAUCGCUAUAAUCUACUAAUUAUAAUUAUUAACAUUUGGUUUUGUUUGACUUAAAUGGAAUAAAUUUGAAAUUAGCCACUCAUUUGUGGACUCCUACUUAAUUGUCCUACUUAAUUGGACAUUAUUUGUUAUUUCGAUAACUAAAGUAAUGAUAUUUUGAAUGUAUUUGAUUUGAUCUUGAUAUGAAAUUGUUUUAAAAUAGAUAUGAAAAAGUUUUUUUUUGUUGAAAAGUUUUGAAUAUAUUAGCAUGUUUAACUCACAAUUUUUUAUGUAUUUGGACAAUAACAUUGGGGUUGAUGGGUUAAUUUUUUAAAGUUGAGAAUUAAAGAUCAUAGAAUUUAUUUAUUUUACUAAUUUCAACAGGAAUUUGGGAAUUUGUAAUUCCAAUUAGAAGAUAAAUGUUUAUGUCACUUUGAGCCUCAUGUUUGAGGUGUGAAAUGACCGCGGAUGAAGGAAAAUUUCAACUUUAUUUGGUUUUUUAUUGAACAAAAUCGGAAGAAAAAGAUAUCCUCAAAUUUGGGGAAAAUUCAUGCAACCAACAAAUUGGUGAGAAAAUCUGGGAGAAGACUGGAUGAAAAUUUUUCUGGGUUCAAAUUUGUAUUUUAUUUUUUUCCUUUUAUUUUUGCCACUUAGUUUUUCCCUUGUGCUUCGCAUUCAUUUCCUUUAUAGUUUCCAGAGAACCAAACAACCUGUGAUUAUUGUUAUGAUCACUAUUUUGGGUAUACAAUAAUUUGAAGUAACUGUAAGCCAAUGACCUAUUGUUACUGUUGCAGUCAUUUUAUUGGUACAGAACUAUCUAAAGGAAACUGUUAAUCAGGGUAUUGGGUCUAGGGCUUUGCGUACUAAAAUUUCAGAAUUAGUUGGGAUAUUGCUUGGUUUAGUGAUAGUUGAAAUGUUAUUUUUCUUGUUCAAAAUUUUUCAUAAUGUAUGUUUGCAGAAUUCAAUGGGAAUUGUUUUUGUUUAGGGUUUGGGGUUUCGGGUAUUUUUACUUUGCAAAUAAUAUUUUUGAAAACUAUGGAGGGAAUAUCAAUAUACUUGUUUACCCAAAUUUAACAGACUCUUUUUUUUUUUAAUUUUCUUUUAUUAAGAUAAAUAGAAAAAAAGGAUGAAAAGUAAAUGUCUAAGGUUGAGGCUAAUAUAUUUUUAAAAUAUUGUGAAAUUGAAAUCAAAAUUUAACACUAUGUCUAAUUUUUUAAAUCUUAUAUUUUGUAGAAAAAUUGUGAGGAUUAAGUCUUUAUUUUUAAUUUAAAGCAAGUAAAGUUUGUUUCAAUUUAAAGUGCUUUUAUAUUUUCUCCCAUUAAAAAUUAAACUUCCACCAAGAAAUUUAAUGAUUUAAAAACAAAAACAAAAACAAAAACCAUAAUUUUAAUAAAUUUUCUCAUUAUUUGAGGUAUCAUACAAAGAUGAAGAAUAUUGAGAUUUAAAGGGUCCUACUUUAUCAUGCCAUAUCACAACAAUCAAUCAAAUAAGAAGAUAAUAAAUUAUUAAAUAUUCAAUACGCAAAAGGCCCUAAUUACAAUCACUCUUUCCUCAAAAACUCAAAUAACUCUAGGUAUAUUAUUAUUAAAUAUUUCAUGACACUCUAAUAAGUAAAUACCCUCGUAACAAUACCCUUUCCCCAUAAAAAUGUUAUUUUUUAUAAGAAAAAUCUUGUCAAAUGCCAACAAAACCCUAAUACCUAUUUUUCCUAAUGAAGAAACUGAUAUUACAUUGGGACUUACGUUUGGAAUAUAAAAAACAUCAUCGAGGAUAAGGAUGUUGUUCGAGGCAAGUUUAAGAAUGACUUGCCCUUUACCAAUCACAGACAAAGGAUUCAAGUUUCCCCCGAUUAAUUCUAUCUUCAUACCUUUCUCCAUAGGAGUAUAGUAGUUGAAUGCUCUUAUAUCUCCGCAAAUAUGUAUAGAAGCUCCAGAAUCAACCAUCCAAUUAUUUAGAGAAGUCACCAUCUUCGUGCUACAAGAGUAUCUACUAGAAAAGAGAAGAAAGAUAUCAGUAACUGCUAUACAAAUUUAUGAUAUUGAAGAAAAGAGAAAAAGUGCAUUGAAUGUAAAGGCAUGGUUCAUGCUCAUUUUUAUAAUGCCAUUAUUCGAGUUGAACUAGAAUUUAAUUAUAAUCCUACUUUGUCUCAAUUUUGAAGUCGAAUUUGCAUAAUAUUCUUCUUAUAAAGAAACCUUUUAUUUUGUCAUUUUAUCACUUCAAAAACCUUACCUUAUUUUAUUUACAUUAUCCUUAGGAGUAGUAAUUUUAAAGAUAAUGAUAGAGUCCGAUAUUUGAAGUUGUUCAAUCAAAUUGGAGCACUUGGCAUUCCUAAUUGUAUAAUAUGUCACAAAAUUAUUUGAUUUUUAGUAUUAAUAUUUAAUGGGUAGCUCGUAAAAUUAAAUUUUAAUUUGGAAACUUUUUAAAAAUAAAUUUUAUAUAUAGUAUUAUUUUUAAUUAUUUUUCAUAUUUAUCUCGUUCUUUUUUUAAAUGAGUCAUUAAAAAAUAAAUGAAAAUAAUUAAAAUAAAGUAAAAUAUAUAUAUUUAAAAAUAUCGUGUUUUUUAUUUUUAAGAAUAGAAAACUGAGACUAUUUGUUAAUUGUUAUAAAAAAUAAACACAUGAGAAUUAGAAAAUAAAAGAUUGAUUUUUAAAAGAGUUAACAAAUAGACCCUAAAAGUCUAUUUAAUAAUAAUUUUAAAGAAGGUUAAAUGUGUUUUUUCAUUCUUAUAAAAAUUCUAUAUUUGAUAAUUUUUUAGAAAUUAUUUUUAAAAAUAUGAAAAAUCACUAUCCAAAAUUGCUUUUUCAUUAUAUAAUAUAUUAAUAAAAAAAAAAACUAUCAAAACACAUUUUUAGUUUAUAUCUUACCAAAGGUCGAUUCUUUUUUAAAAGUGUUUAUAAUGGAGGUAUUAUAAAUAAAAACAUAUAAAUCACUUUCAAAACCGACUAUACAACUUUUUUUUUUUAAAAAUAUCUAAUUACUUGAAAAAUUAUUAUCUACCUUAGUCUAAUAGUUUGAAUGUUUUAAUAUUCUUGUCUUCAAAUGUUUAAGUGUUAGGUUAUUGAUAAAAAAGAAGUAUUUAAAUAUACAAAUAUAUGAAGUAAAGAUAGAAAGUUGUUACAGAUGAUAUUAGAAUCAAUUAUUGAUCUUAAUAUGAUAACAAGGUUUUAAAAACCGAUCUUAAUAUGAUAAGAAGGUUUUAAAAACCGAACCGACCGACCACAAAUUGACGAAAUACAACCAACAGUUUCAAAUAAGUGAAGUGUAAAUUAAGCUCCUCCCCCCACUGCCACAUCUGUCAACAAACCAAGUUUUCUUUCGUGGUGUCUUAAAGCUGCAUGCUGUUAACAACAAAGAGAGAAGAACAGGUAACACCAAUCCAAUUCCUUUGGUUCCACCAGUCACAAGAGCAGUCGUUCCCUUGAGAGACCAUCUACUAUCUCCAGAGCUGCACCCACAUGUCUGAGUCAUGCCUCCUCCUAUCCUCUCCCACUCCUUAUUUUUACAAUAAUGUUAAUAUCACUGUAUUUGGAAUAAUCUCAUUUUGCUAUAUUUAUAAAAGUAUCAUCUUACUAUUCUAUUUUAAUUUAUUUUUUAAUAUUAAAUAUUAGUAACAAAGACCCAGAUAAUAAUCUCAUUAAUCCUAUUUAAAAUUUUAAAAUCUGUGUUGAUUUUAAUCAUCUCAUAAUUUUCAAGAGAAUCAAAUUUUAAAAUAAUGUUUUUUAAUUUUUUUUAAAAAUAUUUUGAUAAAUCAAUAAUUUCAAUCAAUUAAAAUUAUUUUUUUUACAAAAAAAAAAAUAUUUUAGUAAUAUUUAAUUAUGUUUUUAAUAUUUUCUAUUCGAAAUUUGAAAUUUUGGAUGAAAAAGGCUUGCUUCUGUUAUUAUGUAGUUUAGUAUUUUAGAUGAAAAUAUUAAUUUUUAUUCUUAUCUAUCUAUAUAUAAAUAUAUAUAAUGUAAAUUUAAUAUAUUUUUUUAAUAAUGAUCAUAAUGUUCUUAGAAAUAUGUUCUUAGAAUAGUCAUGUAUGGAAAGCAAAUAUCCCAAUUUUUUUUUAAGAACAGGAAAUCGAUGAAUUUUUUUAAUAAAAAAAACAUGUUUGAUAAUUAGAAAAGAUGUUUGAAAAACAGAAAAUAAAAAAAAAUAACUUAACAAACAAACCUUAAAAAUCUAUUUAGCAGAAAUUUUGAAAAAAAUAAAAGAAAAACGGAAAAACUAAAUGUGUUUUUGCUUUCUUAUGUAUUUGAUAAAAUUUUAAAAAUCAUUUUUAAAAAUUUGAAAAAUCAUAAUUUAAAAUCACUUUUUAUGAUAUAAUAAAUUAAAUCAAAACACCAUAUCUAAUCAAUAAAAGAUUGUUCUUUUAAAAGUGUUUAUAAUGGAAAUAUUAUCAAUAAAAACACUCUCAUUACUCCAAUAUGGACUACAUUUAAAAAAAAAUAAAAUUAAUUACUUGAUAAAUUAUUAUUAGAAUGUGAAGUCUGAAUCAGUUUUAUUAUGGAGUCGAAUUGUCUUACUUUGUCUGUCCCUUUUUAUGUUCCGAUUUUUUUUCAUAUAUUGCUAGAUCGAACUGCCCAAAUUUGUCUUGGAAUCGAAUUGUCUUACUUUGCCUCUCCCUUUUAUGUUUCAAUUUUUUUCAUAUAUUGCUAGGUCGAACUGCCCAGAUUUACUUGUUCUUUUUAUGUUUAGGGUUUUAAUUUUUUCAUGCAUGUCCCUAUUAUAUAUUUAAUAGGUUCCAAUUUUUUUAUAAAGUAUAGUCGCAAUUGAGAGUUUUUUUUAAGAACUUUUAUUAUUAUAACUUUUCUCAUUUAUUUUAAUUAAUAAUUAUUGAGUAUUGGUGCACUUCAUGGAAGUAGAGCUCACAUUGAUUCUCAAACCACAUUAAAAAUCUUGUCUUUUUUAUUUUUUAUUUAUUUGUGUGGUUUGGAUAACAAUUAUUAUCUACAUACUAAUAGUUUAAAUAUUUAAAAAAUUAUUAUAUUUCAAUCUUUCAAGUUUCGAAUGUUUCUUAAAACCCUAAAUUUUAGGUUUCAAAUCUUUCUUAAAACUCAAAAAUUUUAAGCUAAGUUUGUUGACUUCAAUUCACGUGUAAGGCAUUUUUACCUAAAAUUAACAAACUUUUUUCUAUUUUCUAUUUUUCUAUUUUUUUUAACCAUAAAAUAAACAAAUUUUCUUUUAUAUAUAUAUUUUUAAAACAAAUAUUAAAAUUGUUUUUAUAACAGAGGACCAAGCCCGAAGACUCCAUUUGAAUAAUAAAAGGAUUUGAGAGAAAUUGGACCAAAAGUAAAAUAUUAGUUUAAAAUUGGAAUGUGAUUAAAAGCUAUUUAAUAAAGAGAAAAAUAGAAAAGGAUGAAAAAUAAAUGUCUAAGGUUGAGGCUAAUAUAUUUUUUUUUAAAUAUUGUGAAAUUGAAAUCAAAAUUUAACACUAUGUUUAAGUUUUUAAAUCUCAUAUUUUCCAGAAAAAAAAUUGGGUGGAUUAAGUUUCAAAGCACAAGAAGAUCUAGAAUUUUAUUUUUAAUUUAAAGCAAGUAAGGUUUGUUUCAAUUUAACAUGUUGUCAUAUUUUCUCUUGUUAAAGAUUGAAAUUCCACCAAGAAACUUAAAUGAUAAAAAAAUAAAAAGAAAUCAUAAUGAGAUUUAAAGGGUCCUACUUUAUCAAAUAUGAAAUAGACUCUAAUUACAAUAGCCCUCCCAUCAAAACUCAAAUAGCCCUAGCUAUAUUACUAGUAAAUAUUUCGCGACACUCUAAUACAUAAACACCCUGGUGACAAUGCCCUUUCCCCAUAAAAAUGUUAUUUUUCAUGAGAAAAGCCUUGUCAAAGUCAAACAAAACCUCGAUACCUAUUUUUCCUAAUAGGGAAACUGAUAGAAGAUUGCGGCCUAUGUUUGGAACAUAGAAAACAUCAUUCAGGAUAAUGAUGUUGUUCGAGGUAAGUUUAAGAAUGACUUGUCCUUUGCCAACUACAGACAAGGGUGUUGAAUCUCCCACCAGUACUACUUCAUUCCUCCCUUCCUCCAUAGGAGUAUAGUAGUUGAAUGCUCUUAUAUUGCCGCAUACAUGCAUAGAAGCUCCAGAAUCAACUAUCCAAUUAUCUAUAAAAGUCACCAUCUUCACUCUAUGAGAAUAUCUACCAAAAAAAGAGAGGAAGAUAUGAGUAUUUACAAGUCGAACUUAUGAUACCAAAGAAAAGAGAAGAAAUGUGUUGAAUCUAAAGGUAUAGUUCAUGCCCAUUUUUAUAGGGCCUUUCUUCAAGUUGAAGAGGAAUUUAAUUGUAAUCCUACUCCAUUUCAAUUUUGAAAAUGAAUUUGCAAAAUAUUCUUAACCUUUUAUUUUAUCAUUUUAUCACUUCAAAACCUUAUCUUAUUUUAUUUGCAUUAUCCUUAGCACUAUUAAUUUUAAAAAUAAUUAUAGAGUUUAAUAUUUGAAGAUGUUUGAUCAAAAUGGGGCACUUGGCAUUCCUAAACAUAUAAUAUGUCACGAAACUUCUUAUUGUAAUCCUAACAAAAUCAAAAUUUUUAGUACUAUGAAGAUUAAUUGAUUUUUUUAAUGAAAUAAUUUAAUAAUAAAAAACAUCUAUAUGACCCUCUUUCCUAUUAUGAAGAGACUAUUGAUUCAAAAGGAAAAUACUUUUUUUUCCUUUAAAUAACUAUUAGUAUUUAACAAGUAGCAUGUAAAAUUAAAUAUUAAUUUAGAAAUGUUUUAUAAAAUAAAUUUUGAUAUUAGAAAACAAGUGAAAAUAAAAUAAAAUAAAAUAAAAUAUUUAAGAAUAGAAAAUAGAGGCUAUUUGUUAAUAAUUAUUUUCCAAAACGGAAAUAUGACAAUUAGAAAAUAGAAGAUUAUUUUUAAGAAGAGUUAACAAAUCAUACCUUUAAUAAGAGUCUAUUUAACUGUAAUUUUGAAAAAUGUUGAAUCUAGUUCGGUAUUUUUAUAAAAAUUAUGUAUGUGAUAAUUUUUAAAAAAACGAAAAAUUGCCAUCCAAAAUUACUUUUUCAUUAUAUAAUAUACUAAAAGGAUACUAUCAAAACAUAUUUUUAGUUUAUAUCCUACCAACAUACUAUUAUUUUUACAAUGGAUGCAUUCUAAAUAAAAAUAUAUUAAUCACUUUCAAAACGGACUCUUUUUACAAGUUUUAAAAAAAAUAUCUAAUUACUUGAAAUUUUAUUAUCUGUCAAGAUGUGUAAGAAGUGAAACUUAAAUUGUUUCACCAUACUAAUAUUUUUCUAUUUUCUGUUUUGGAAGGCAAACGGAGAGAAAACCCUGAUAAUGGGGUUGGACCUCUGAGGCCCGCACCCAUCUCAAAAUCAGAGUAAAAUCCUUGAGGAUUGAGCCAACAGAAGCCUAAAAGGAUGGAGAGGGAAGGAGGAGGAGAAGAUGAUAUUGUGUGCUUGGAUGGGUCCUUUUUCAUCAAUGACGAGUAAUUAUGUCUUUCCUUCUCUGCCUAGCAAACUAUCCCUCUCUCUCUCAACAUUGUUUGUUGAAAUUAUUGGCUGUUUCAUAUAUGCAGUUACCAGCUCACCAAAUUCACAUUUGGGUCUCAAGUUCUUGAGCUCUUUUGUCUCCACUCUGCUUCAAGUCAGUUUCAACCCAAACCCAUACCCAUACAUGCUUCCGAUAACUGUCUGUGAUGUUGAAUUCUCUGAUGAUUUUUAUUUUUUUUAAUUUUAACUUUAGUUUAUUUUUGGAUUUGCAAUGUGUGUUUUGGAAAAUAAAUUGAAGCUGUGUUUGGUUGUGGAACUGGAAUUGGAUUUGGAAUUGAUUUAGAAUUUGUAUUCUGUGGGGGUUCUGAAAUCUUGGUUUGACUGUAGAUUUGUCUUUGUGGGUUUGGGUUAGAAUCUUUUAGUAUGUAAAGCAAUAAACAGUUCAAUUUCAAUUUUUCGAGGCCCCAGUUGUUUACAACCAAACAUGAACUAGGACAAUAUAAAAAAUAAAGUUACAAUAUUAUUUUAAAAAUCACAAAAAUAAUUGAGAUGUAUGGUUGGCUCUCAAAUGGGUUAAAUUUACAUGCAACUUGCAAGAUAUUAGUGUGAUUUUAUAUUUCUAACCAAAGUGUAUGAUGUUUGCAAUUUCGUAUUUGCUACUAGAAAAUUUUGUUUUCAUUCUAUAUGGUUUUUUGUCACAAAGAGUGAUAGUGAUUUAAUCUAGUACCAAAGUUGAUAUAAGUCAAAGAACUGAGGAAGAGAGAAUUUCCAUGAACAAGAACACAUUUGAUCUCAGGCUCCCGUGGAGUAAAGUGGCUGGGCAUUCAGCAUUCUUGAUAUCUGAAAUAAACGUUUGGAUGGUUCACAUGUUUAAUUACAAUUAUGUGCCUCAUUUGUCACUAUAUUCUUGAUUGGAAGCAUACUAUUCAUUCUCCAUCUGACAAGUACGAAGUGAUCAUAUACAGUUAUAGGUUGAGGUGACUGAACUUCUUGCAUGGUUGUCUCUGCUGACCUAUUCUUCCUCCCUUCUCAUGGGAAAAAAAUCUGGAGUAUUUGAUGAGAGGAUAACCAAACUAUGAUUGACAGUUGGAAACCAUGCCCAUGUUAUGGGUGAUGGUGUUGUCAUUGUAGUUGUUUUUUUUUUUUUUUUUUCAAUUUUUUAUUAUUUGUAUUUGUGAACUCUCUGGAAUUGAAUUUCCAUACAUCCUGGAAGUUGAAUACUUUGUGUUAGCUUUUAGUAACUUUAAGGCUGUUACAAUACGCACAUUGUAAACUAACAAUUUGUGGGGACAGCUGAUUUUGAUUUGACGGGACAAUUGGUAUGGCCUGGUGCCAUGUUGUUGAAUGAUUAUCUUUCAAAGAAUGCUGAGAUUCUCCGAGGAUGUUCUGUUAUUGAGUUAGGCUCUGGUGUUGGUAAGUGAAUAUCUCCUUGCUUUUUCUUGUGUCCUUUUGGGGCUUGUUGAUCAUUUUUUGUCAAUAAAACACUUGCAUGAAAAGGAAGCAGCAGAGUCAAAGCACACAAAAAGUAUUCAAGGCUAUCUGCUAUAGGAAUCAAAUGCUUCAACAAUACAUCUCACACCAAAUAUCAAGAAAAUAACCCAUAAGAACUUCCUAAUGUCAGCGAUCUCCCUGGACUUGCUUUUUGAGAGCUCUUUCCUUUAUAGUCGUUGUAUCUAACUUCUUACAAACAUAACAAAGGGAGCAAUAUAAAGUAGUUUUCAACUCAAACUAGACAGGUUGGAGCCCCUGGAAGUAUCAACUUGACAAAAGAUCUUGAACAUUUUUUUAAUUUUUAAUUUUUUAAUUUAGUUAUAUAUAUAUAUAUAUAUUUUUUUUUUAAUUUCUUUCUUUCACUUUGUUGCAUCCUAUGAUGGAUGGUUCCUUCCUCCAUAAGAAAAUUUGAAGUUGGUGUCUAUUCUAAAAUUUCUUUUGUUCUCUGUUUUGGGCCUUUUUUUUUGGGUUUUUUUGUUUUGAUAACAGGGAAUCUGCCAUGACAUUAAUUUCUUUCUUUCACUUUGUUGCAUCCUACGAUGGAUGGUUCCUUCCUCCAUAAGAAAAUUUGAAGGAGGUGUCUAUUCUAAAAUUUCUUUUGUUUUCUGUUUUGGGCUUUUUUUAUUUUGAUAACAGGGAAUCCGCCAUGACAGUAAGGCAUCUGUCUCAACUAUUUGUGAAGAAAAACAUGAGUGAUAUGGGCCCCUUCAUAUACCCUACACUAAAAUACAGGAGAGGCUCAAACUCAGGGUCUGCUGGUUCAUUGCCAUAGGUCACUACCACUAAGCUACACACUCAGGGACUGAAAUUCCAUUUUGUUGUGGACAACUCCGUUGGGUAGGAUUCUUGUAGUGGAUUAGACAAAUUGUAAAGGCCGUUGUUUUUGUUGACAGAUGAUUUAUUUGUCUCAAAAGUGC
This 14883-nucleotide long non-coding RNA is filed under the name Vitis vinifera (wine grape). Its description in RNAcentral is "long non-coding RNA (VVIN_LNC001895)". The record is from RNAcentral. Lineage: Eukaryota; Viridiplantae; Streptophyta; Magnoliopsida; Vitales; Vitaceae.